UACGAAGGUCCCAAGCGUUGUUCGGAUUUACUGGGCGUAAAGCGUCUGUAGGCUGCAUGGUAAGUCAGAUGUGAAAUCUCAGGGCUCAACCCUGAAACUGCAUCCGAUACUGCCGUGCUAGAGGGUCGGAGGGGAGUCUGGAAUUCUCGGUGUAGCAGUGAAAUGCGUAGAUAUCGAGAGGAACACUAGUGGCGAAGGCGAGUCUCUGGACAAUUCCUGACGCUGAGGCACGAAAGCUGGGGGAGCAAACAGG
RNAcentral lists this ribosomal RNA (253 nucleotides) under uncultured bacterium. Its description in RNAcentral is "partial 16S ribosomal RNA". It matches the Rfam family "Bacterial small subunit ribosomal RNA", at positions 524 to 776 of the family's 1533-position model. The record is from RNAcentral.